AGGGCGUACGGUGAAUGCCUUGGUGCCAACAGGCGAAGAAGGACGCGGCAAGCUGCGAAAAGCCUCGGGAAGCUGCAAGCAAGCGAUGAUCCGGGGAUAUCCGAAUGGGGUAACCUGAUCGAGGCAAUACUCGAUCGUUCAUACCUGAAUACAUAGGGUAUGAAACGCGAAACCCGCUGAAGUGAAACAUCUCAGUAAGCGGAGGAAAAGAAAGAGAAAUCGAUUCCGUAAGUAGUGGCGAGCGAAAGCGGAUGGAGCCCAAACCGAAGGUAUUCCUUCGGGGUUGUAGGACCACGUCAUAUUCGACCAUACUGGAUAGUAGAACAGCCUGGAAAGGCUGGCCGGAGAAGGUGAAAGCCCUGUAGACGAAAUCCAGAGUGGGAAUUAGUGGUAUCCUGAGUAAUACAUCACACGUGGAACGAUGUAUGAACCCGCGCGGACCACCGCGCAAGGCUAAAUACUAGUUGGCGACCGAUAGUGAACAAGUACCGCGAGGGAAAGGUGAAAAGAACCGCUGUGAGCGGAGUGAAAUAGAACCUGAAACCGUAUGUCUACAAAGUGUCAGAGCAGAGCAAUCUGCGAUGGCGUGCCUUUUGUUUAAUGAGUCUGCGAGUCAGUGUUUGUGGCAAGACUAAGGGCUUCCGGCCCGGAGUCGCAGCGAAAGCAAGUCCGAACAGGGCGCAAUAAGUCGCAGGUACUGGACCCGAAGCGGAGGUGACCUACCCUUGGCCAGGUUGAAGCAUGGGUAAAACCAUGUGGAGGACCGAACAGGUGAACGUUGAAAAGUUCUCUGAUGAGCUGAGGGUAGGAGUGAAAGGCUAAUCAAACCCCGUGAUAGCUGGUUCUCUUCGAAAUGCAUUUAGGUGCAGCGUCACGUGCUGAUGCGCGGGGGUAGAGCACUGACAAGGCUAGGGGGCACACCCGCUUACCAAACCUUAUCAAACUCCGAAUACCGUGCAAUGGAACGUGGCAGUGAGACAGUGGGGGAUAAGCUUCAUUGUCGAGAGGGAAACAACCCAGACCAGCAGCUAAGGUGCCUAAAUAACGCUCAGUGGAAAGGAUGUGGGAUUACACAGACAGUGAGGAUGUUGGCUUAGAAGCAGCCACCAUUUAAAAAAUGCGUAAUAGCUUACUCAUCGAGUGAUCCUGCGCCGAAAAUGAUUGGCGAUCAAGCGUUAUACCGAAGCUCUGGACUUUGCCGCAAGGCAGAGUGGUAGAAGAGCGUUGCAUGCGCGUCGAAGGGCGAUGGCGACUGACCCUGGAGCACAUGCAAGUGAGUAUGCAGACAUGAGUAACGUUAAGCCGGGUGAAAUCCCCGGCCGCCGUAAACCCGAGGUUUCCAGGGCAACGUGUUUCGUCCCUGGGUUAGCCGGGACCUAAGCCGAGGCCGAGAGGCGUAGGCGAUGGACAUCAGGUUAAUAAUCCUGAGCUCGCAACCCUUAAACUGGGGGGACGCAUGAGAAAAGAUGACUAGGUUAUUGAAUUCCGAGUUGAGUCUACGGACUCAGCGCAUCAUUGGAUCGAGUGCCAAGAAAAGCCCCAGCGUAUGCUAAGCGACCCGUACCGCAAACCGACACAGGUGGGUGGGUAGAAUAUACCAAGGCGUAAGAGUGAAACCUGGUUAAGGAACUCGGCAAAUUAGCCCCGUAACUUCGGAAGAAGGGGUGCCUGCAGCGAUGCAGGCCGCAGAGAAAUGGCCCAACCGACUGUUUAUCAAAAACACAGCACUCUGCAAAGACGCAAGUCGAAGUAUAGGGUGUGACACGUGACCAAUGCCGAAAGAUUAAGGCAAGGGGUUAGCCGCAAGGCGAAGCUCUAAACCCAAGUCCCGGUGAAUGUCGGCCGUAACUAUAACGGUCCUAAGGUAGCGAAAUUCCUUGUCGGGUAAGUUCCGACCUGCACGAAUCGUGAAACGAGUUGGGCACUGUCUCAACCAGGCGCUCAGUGAAAUUGUAGUGGCGGUGAAGAUGCCGCCUACCCGCAGAAGGACGGAAAGACCCUAUAGACCUUAACUGUAAGCUGUCAUUGUUUCUUCGGUUUUAAUGCUCAGAGUAAGUGGGAGACGCUGAAGACGCCCUUUAGGGGGCGUCCGAGUCAUCAAUGAGACACCACCCUUUGAAACUGGAGGAUCUAACCCUGAGCCGUGAAUCCGGCCAGAGGACCGUGUCAGCCGGUCAGUUUUACUGGGGCGGUAUCCUCCCAAAGAGUAACGGAGGAGCGCGAAGGUGGGCUCAGCCCGGUUGGCAACCGGGUGUCGAGUGCAUGGGCAUAAGCCCGCCUAACUGUGAGACCAACAAGUCGAGCAGAUGCGAAAGCAGGCCCAAGUGAUCCGGCGGUAGAAAGUGGAAUUGCCGUCGCUCAACGGAUAAAAGGUACCUUAGGGAUAACAGGCUGAUCACGCCCAAGAGUUCAUAUCGACGGCGUGGUUUGGCACCUCGAUGUCGGCUCGUCGCAUCCUGGGGCUGGAGAAGGUCCCAAGGGUCCGGCUGUUCGCCGGUUAAAGCGGCACGCGAGCUGGGUUCAGAACGUCGCGAGACAGUUCGGUCCUCUAUCCUCUGUGGGCGUUGGAAAAUUGAGGGGUUCAGACCUUAGUACGAGAGGACCGGGUCUGACGCACCACUGGUGCAUCGGUUGUACUGUCAAGUGCAUGGCCGAGUAGCUAAGUGCGGACGGGAUAAGCGCUGAAAGCAUCUAAGCGCCAAGCCCUUCCCAAGAUGAGUUUUCCCUACAGGUUCGUGGAAGACCACCACGUUGAUAGGUCGCAGGUGUAAGUGCAGCAAUGUAUUGAGCCGAGCGAUACUAAUUACCAAUUGACUUCAUC
This 2821-nucleotide ribosomal RNA is filed under the name metagenome. RNAcentral's name for it is "bacterial LSU rRNA". It matches the Rfam family "Bacterial large subunit ribosomal RNA". RNAcentral also lists the same sequence under 3 other names. The record is from RNAcentral.